AAUAUGAUUUUUGUAUGAAUGAGGUUGUGGGCAUAGUUUGUUGGCACCUUAAAUAUUUGUUUUAGAAUAUAAUCGUUUGUUCCAUGUAAAUUCAAGCUGAGCACAUAUUUGUUACCUUGUUGCCAUAGAACAAAUCCAGAGAAAAGAAUUUCAUAAUGAUCGAUUUUUAAGGUUAUUUCUGCAUUCUGGUUUGGUCCUCGAUUCUCAAGCAAUUGUUUGGCAACAAUAAAUUCCACACAUUUUUGUUAUAUCACAUAUAAUUACUGGAGAGAGAGUAAUAUACACGGAAAAUAUACAAACACACAUACACACACGGAAAAAUGACUCAUUUGAUUUAGAAACAUAGCAAAUGACAUAUUUGCAACAGCUGUCAGUUUAAAAUGAAACUGAUAAAAACAACUAAAUAAAAAGAAGACGAUCUUUGUGUUGAACUAGUAUGAA
Contarinia nasturtii (swede midge) is the source of this 441-nucleotide long non-coding RNA. RefSeq lists it as uncharacterized. NCBI's taxonomy places the organism in Eukaryota, Metazoa, Arthropoda, Insecta, Diptera, Cecidomyiidae. The record is from RefSeq and is a predicted model, not a curated record. The transcript has 2 exons.